RNAcentral lists this ribosomal RNA (484 nucleotides) under uncultured bacterium. RNAcentral describes it as "partial 16S ribosomal RNA". It matches the Rfam family "Bacterial small subunit ribosomal RNA", at positions 30 to 507 of the family's 1533-position model. The record is from RNAcentral.
AGUGAACGCUGGCGGCAGGCCUAACACAUGCAAGUCGAGCGGCAGCGCGGGGGCAACCCUGGCGGCGAGCGGCGGACGGGUGAGGAAUUCGUCGGAAUCUGCCUUUUUGUGGGGGAUAACGUAGCGAAACUUACGCUAAUACCGCAUCCGUCCUACGGGAGAAAGUGGGGGACCGCAAGUCCUCACGCCGAAAGCUGAGCCGACGAGCGAUUAGCUAGUUGGUGGGGUAAAGGCCCACCAAGGCGACGAUCGGUAGCUGGUCUGAGAGGAUGAUCAGCCACACGGGAACUGGGAAACGGCCCAGACUCCAACGGGAGGCAGCAGAGGGGAAUAUUGGACAAUGGGCGCAAGCCUGAUCCAGCCAGGCCGCGGGUGUGAAGAAGGCCUUCGGGUGGUAAAGCACGUUUGUCCGGAAAGAAAUCCCUGGGGCUAAUAACUUCGGGGGAUGACGGUACCGGAAGAAUAAGCACCGGCUAACUUUGUG